GUCUCUGUGGCGCAAUCGGUUAGCGCGUUCGGCUGUUAAUCGAAAGGAUGGUAGUUCGAGCCCACCCAGGGACG
RNAcentral lists this transfer RNA (74 nucleotides) under Octopus bimaculoides (California two-spot octopus). RNAcentral describes it as "transfer RNA asparagine (anticodon GUU)". It matches the Rfam family "tRNA". Rfam says of the family: Transfer RNA (tRNA) molecules are approximately 80 nucleotides in length. Their secondary structure includes four short double-helical elements and three loops (D, anti-codon, and T loops). The record is from RNAcentral. Lineage: Eukaryota; Metazoa; Mollusca; Cephalopoda; Octopoda; Octopodidae.